UACGUAGGUAGCGAGCGUUGUCCGGAAUGACUGGGCGUAAAGGGUGCGUAGGUGGUAUGACAAGUUGGUAGUGAAAUUCCGAGGCUUAACUUCGGCGCUACUACCAAGACUGUUAAACUUGAGUACGGGAGAGGUAAGUGGAAUUCCUAGUGUAGCGGUGGAAUGCGUAGAUAUUAGGAGGAACACCAGAGGCGAAGGCGACUUACUGGCCCGCAACUGACACUGAGGCACGAAAGCGUGGGGAG
RNAcentral lists this ribosomal RNA (245 nucleotides) under uncultured Eubacteriales bacterium. RNAcentral's name for it is "uncultured Clostridiales bacterium partial 16S ribosomal RNA". It matches the Rfam family "Bacterial small subunit ribosomal RNA", at positions 524 to 768 of the family's 1533-position model. The record is from RNAcentral. Lineage: Bacteria; Bacillati; Bacillota; Clostridia; Eubacteriales.